This 72-nucleotide transfer RNA is filed under the name Loxodonta africana (African savanna elephant). It matches the Rfam family "tRNA". From Rfam's summary of the family: Transfer RNA (tRNA) molecules are approximately 80 nucleotides in length. Their secondary structure includes four short double-helical elements and three loops (D, anti-codon, and T loops). Further hydrogen bonds mediate the characteristic L-shaped molecular structure. tRNAs have two regions of fundamental functional importance: the anti-codon, which is responsible for specific mRNA codon recognition, and the 3' end, to which the tRNAs corresponding amino acid is attached (by aminoacyl-tRNA synthetases). tRNAs cope with the degeneracy of the genetic code in two manners: having more than one tRNA (with a specific anti-codon) for a particular amino acid; and 'wobble' base-pairing, i.e. permitting non-standard base-pairing at the 3rd anti-codon position. Lineage: Eukaryota; Metazoa; Chordata; Mammalia; Proboscidea; Elephantidae. The record is from Rfam by way of RNAcentral.
GCAUUAGUUGUUCAGUGGUGGAGUUCUUGCCUUCCAUGCGGGAGACCUGGGUUCAAUUCCCCGACCAAUGCA